This 1336-nucleotide long non-coding RNA is filed under the name Coturnix japonica (Japanese quail). RNAcentral's name for it is "lncRNA (ENSCJPG00005018424.1)". Lineage: Eukaryota; Metazoa; Chordata; Aves; Galliformes; Phasianidae. The record is from RNAcentral.
UUCUGGUCUGGAUUCUUUUAUUUCAGUGCUUAUAUGCUGAUACACAAGAGCAAUAAGAAAAGGCUGGGCAUUUUGAAUAUUGCUGCAGGGCUUAUGUUAUGGCUUUCCCAAUUUGCAAGAAUGCAUCUUAAGACUCUCAUCACAAGGGAAUCAUUGCUGAUUCUAAGCAGUAUUGGAUAAAGAUGAGGCCAGACCACACUUCAGAAUUACUUCAACUUUGUUUUGUGAAAGGUUGAUUUAACAUCAGAUCAAGCAUCUCUUGAGAUGCUUUUCAUAAAUUUGAAGUUCUACCCAAAUAUCAUGUUUUGUGAUAAUCACAUGCCUUGUAAGUCAUGGAUUAUGUGCAUCAUGUAAGAUAUUAAACUUGUCAAGAUGUUGUUUUUAAUAUGUCUUUUAGUUAAGACCAUAUCUUGACAUGAAUUAUUCCUACCAUAGUCUCUCACACGCUGGUUCAGCAAGCAAUCAUCCACUGCAUCCAUCAUUUCUGUUGCUGCCUCACCAUAUGUCUCUGAGGGGGUAGAGGAGGGAAGUUUCCAGCUAAUCAUUUUUUUUGUAUUUGGUAUGCAAAUCACUUAAAACUGAAUGAUGUGGCAAUUUCAAACAGAAUUGUCCUAAGACUGCAGUUUGAGCAUUGAGUUGCUCGAUAGAUUCGCUAUUUCCUUGUUUUGUUUUGUUUUGUUUUUUGGUUGGAUCUUGGUUUUGUGGUUUUGUUUUGUUACCUUUUUUUGCAUCUUAACAAAAUUUAACAGCUAGAAAAGAAAAUUCUCAUGAUAGCGUCUAGCCUAUUUUCUCCUCAGAGAUAUCUUUGCAGAAAAAAAUUGGGUUUAUAUUAUCUUAGCAAGAGACUUCUGCUUUUAAUAUUUCAAACCUUCAUCUGCCCUUGGCUGCUAUGGCAUCCAUCUAUCUGACAAAACGGGGAAAAGAAAGUGCCAGUCAACGAGUGAAUGCUCCUUUAAGUAAACUUGUUAGCAAGGCAUAAUGACCCCUCCAGGGUCCUGUGACUCCUGCAGGCAAUGGGUGACAUGGUGCGGCCAGACUCAGGACAGGACUGGAACAAUGGAGCUUUUGCUUUAAGAACAAUCUGUUUUCAUCAGCCGUGAAUUAAUGCACAGAACAGUGGCACUGCGUAGGUUGCUCUUGGCUCUCUGAAGAUGCGUGUAAUGAGUGAAACAAUGGCUUGUUAAGUUUAAGAUUCAUUUUAUAACCCCAUGAAAAGCUCUGCUUACUGCUUCUCAAUACUGGGAGUUGUCCAGCUGCAAAUGCACAUCAGCAAUGUACUAAAGGCUCAAAUUCAGGACACACAGCAAAGCCUGAAUAAAAUCUUUACACACAACCA